AAGAGGAGCAGAUCCAGAUCCAGUGACAGGAACACCAUGAGGGCGGAGAAGAUGCACAGUGGAGCGUCUCCUAACUGGACAAGGGAACGGCAAUGCCCAGAGAUGGAAAUGUUGUGGAUACAGCCCAGUUCAUCACAGGAAAAGCCAUCCUCAGCAUUGGGCACAUCUACAUGCACUGCUGUAACCGGAAAGCGAGGACUGCCACCUCCCAGGCCAAGCUCUCUUCUCACUUCUAGCAUCGGGCAGGAGGCACAGGAGCCUUAGGCCCCACACUACCAGGUUUAGGAACAGUUAUUACCCCUCAACCAUCAGAGUCCUGAACCAGUGGGAUAAUUUCACUCGCCAUAACUCUGACUGAUUCCACAACAUACAGGCUCCCUGUCAAGGAUGCUACAACUCAUGUUCUCAGUGUUACUUAUUUUUUAUUUGCACAAUUCAUCUUCUUUUGCACUUUGAUUUUUUUCAAACUCGUUUAUAUAUAAUUUCUCAUAAAAUAUUUUGUAUUUCUUUAUUUUCAUCUGAAUGCCUGCAAGAAAAUGAAUGUCAAGGGACUAUAUGGUGACAGAUACGUACUUCAAUAAUAAAUUUACCUUGACUUUGAUCCUUUACUUUAAUAGCAUUAAUAGAUCUUGCUCAUCUCAGAGGGCAAGCUAUGUUGGUGCCAGAAUGUGUGGUAACACUUGCCUGCUGCCCUUAGCACACCCUUAGGUGUGUUGGUUGUUAAUGCCAGUGAGUCAUUUCAUUGUAUAUUUCCAUGUACAUUUCAUAAAUAAACUUGAUUUUUAAAUCUUG
This is a long non-coding RNA of Hypanus sabinus (Atlantic stingray), 792 nucleotides long. RefSeq lists it as uncharacterized. The record is from RefSeq and is a predicted model, not a curated record. Lineage: Eukaryota; Metazoa; Chordata; Chondrichthyes; Myliobatiformes; Dasyatidae. The transcript is spliced from 2 exons.